Molecule: long non-coding RNA, 818 nt
Filed under: Monodelphis domestica (gray short-tailed opossum)
Lineage: Eukaryota; Metazoa; Chordata; Mammalia; Didelphimorphia; Didelphidae
Description: lncRNA (ENSMODG00000043368.1)
Source: RNAcentral
CAAAUAAAUCUCUUUUAAAAGAACUUUAGUGAAUAGGUCUCAUUAGCAGUACACACAUGCAUAGUGAGAGUAGUACCAGCAGGAUUCUGAGUCCCCGGACCGAAGCACCUUGAGGGUCUGGGAAACUGUGUUGCCUUGGGACAGUACUGGAGCACGUGGACCAGGGGGCGGGAACAGUCCCCUCUGCGGUUUUCUAUUGGAGAAGACGAAAAGAGAUUGCAUGCCAAUUGGUUGGGAGAGGUAGCGGCUGGGGAGAGGCGAGGCCGCUGCAGGAUCAAGACUCUGCUCUUCUCUGUCGCCAAGGCUGGCAGAAACUGGUGCUCGGCCUCGUCUUCCUGGUCUUUCCAGGUCGGGCUGACGGCGCUGCUGCCCAACCUGCUGGUGUUCAGAAAGGCCUGGGGCCCAGGGCCCGAGCUCACCCACAGUGCAGGGUGUCCUGUUUGGCGUCCAUGUGACUGGUGAGAGCGAGGAGCAACCAGAGACCUGGUGGCAGUUGCAGUGUUAGGGUCCGUUUAGGGGUCCAAAGGAACAGAACAGACGAUGCAAUCUGCACAGAGAGGGAAUGUGCUCCUGGCACUCUGGACAGUGGAACUGAACCAGCUAAGUGACAUCAUUAUCCUAGUGGUGAAAUGCAGCCUGGAAAUACAGGAGAAGUUUGGAGUCUGCCAUACCAGGGAAGACCAGGAUCUUCAGAUAAUGAUAGUAUCUCUGAGAAAUGCUGUGGCUUUGGAUCCAGACCCCAGACUUGAGCAAAACUUGUAGAAGCACAUAAUGGGAAACUUUCUAAAGGUUUGCACUUUCUUCAGUGUGUUUGGCUU